UCGGAUUGCAGGCUGCAACCCGCCUGCAUGAAGCCGGAAUCGCUAGUAAUCGCAGAUCAGAAUGCUGCGGUGAAUACGUUCCCGGGUCUUGUACACACCGCCCGUCACACCAUGGGAGUCGAUAACGCCCGAAGUCAGUGACCCAACCGAGAGGAGGGAGCUGCCGAAGGCGGGAUGGAUAACUGGGGUGAAGUCGUAACAAGGUAUC
RNAcentral lists this ribosomal RNA (208 nucleotides) under uncultured bacterium. Its description in RNAcentral is "partial 16S ribosomal RNA". It matches the Rfam family "Bacterial small subunit ribosomal RNA", at positions 1293 to 1500 of the family's 1533-position model. The record is from RNAcentral.